Molecule: ribosomal RNA, 1397 nt
Filed under: metagenome
Description: bacterial LSU rRNA
Rfam family: Bacterial large subunit ribosomal RNA
Source: RNAcentral
CCUUAGGCAGCCACCAUUUAAACAGUGCGUAAUAGCUGACUCAUCGAGUGAUCCCGCGCCGAAAAUGAUUGGCGAUCAAGCGGUAUACUGAAGCUCUGGAUGACAGACCGGUUCGCCGGACUGUUGUGGUAGGGGAGCAUUGUUAACGCAUCGAAGCCUGAUGGCGACUGACGGUGGAGUGUUAACAAGAGAGCAUGCAGACAUUAGUAACGAGAAGGCAGGUGAAAUCCCUGCCCGCCGUAAACCCAAGGUUUCCUGGGCCACGCUAUUCGUCCCAGGGUUAGUCGGGACCUAAGCCGAGGCAGAGAUGCGUAGGCGAUGGACAGCAGUUUAAUAUUACUGCACCACCGAAAAUUUAAGCACAGAGGACGGGGUUGAAGAGAGGACCUGCCUGUUGAACGUGGCAGGGGCGCAAGCUGACGGGGCGGUUCGCCAAACCGGAUUCUUCAAAUCGAUCUCCAAGAAAAGUCUGUGUGGAUACUAAGGUGCCCGUACCGCAAACCGACACAGGUGGGUGAGUAGAAUAUACUAAGGCGUAAGAGUGAACCCCCGUUAAGGAACUCGGCAAUCUAGCCCCGUAACUUCGGGAGAAGGGGUGCCCCCCUUUGGGGGGGCCGCAGUGAAUGGGCCCAACCGACUGUUUAUCAAAAACACAGCACUCUGCCAAGACGCAAGUCCAAGUAUAGGGUGUGACACGUGACCAAUGCGGAAAGAUUAAGGCAAGCGGUUAGCUGCAAGGCGAAGCUGUGAACCUAAGUCCCCGUGAAUGUCGGCCGUAACAAUAACGGUCCUAAGGUAGCGAAAUUCCUUGUCGGGUAAGUUCCGACCUGCACGAAUCGUGUAACGAGUUGGGCGCUGUCUCAACGGGGUGCUCAGUGAAUUUGUAUUGGCGGUGAAGAUGCCGCCUACCCGUGGAAGGACGGAAAGACCCUAUGCACCUUAACUGUACUCUGUCACUGUUGUUUCGGUUUUCAUGCUCAGCGUAAGUGGGAGACUUUGAGGCAGCCCUUUCGGGGGUUGCUGAGUCGUCAAGAGACACCACCCUUGGGGAUUGAAACAUCUAACACCGGUCCCGUGAAUCCGGGCGGAGGACAAUGGCAGACGGUCAGUUUUACUGGGGCGGUAUCCUCCCAAAGAGUAACGGAGGAGCGCGAUGGUCGGUUCAACCUGGUUGGCAAUCAGGUGAUGAGUGCAUUGGCAUAAACCGGCCUAACUGUGAGACCUACAAGUCGAGCAGAUGCGAAAGCAGGUCAAAGUGAUCCGGCGUUUGAAAAUGGAAUCGACGUCGCUCAACGGACAAAAGGUACGCUAGGGAUAACAGGCUGAUUUUGCCCAAGAGUUCAUAUCGACGGCAAAGUUUGGCACCUCGAUGUCGGCUCGUCACAUCCUGGGGCUGA